Molecule: long non-coding RNA, 844 nt
Filed under: Cercocebus atys (sooty mangabey)
Lineage: Eukaryota; Metazoa; Chordata; Mammalia; Primates; Cercopithecidae
Description: lncRNA (ENSCATG00000045833.1)
Source: RNAcentral
GAGGGCAAGGCAGGUGGAUUACUUGAGGUCAGGAGUUCAAGACCAGCCUGGCCAACAUGAUGGAACCCCAUCUCUACUAAAAAUACAAAAAUUAGCUGGGCGUGGUGGCAGGUGCCUGUGAUUCCAGCUACCUGGGAGGCUGAGGCAGGAGAAUCGCUUGAACCCAGGAGGUGGAGGAUACAGUGAGCCGAGAUCGUACCACUGUACUCCAGCCUGGGUGACACAGUGAGUAAGACUCCAUCUCAAAAAAAAUAUAUAUAUAUAUGUGUGUGUGUAUGUGUGUGCGCGCGCGCGUGUGUGUGUGUGUGUAUGUAAAGGAGACAAAUGACAAGCCUGUCAACUAGGAGUUUCACACCACUCUCAUAGCAGCUGCUGCCCCCUACACUUGCUUAUUCCAUCUUUGGAUCUUUCUGCUCAGAACUCAGAGUCCCAGGGGAGGAAGCUGGAAUGACAGCCCCAGCAAGACUGCACAAGGAGAGAAGGAGUCCCCCUAAAAAUCAAAGCUGGGCCUUGCUUUCAAACGAAGGGCAGAAUAUAAGCUGGACCAACACAUAACAUUUCUGGAGGAGGACCGUGUCAUGGUUAGGACACACGUGGGUUCAAGACCAGACACCUCAACUCUGCAGACCUGGCUUCCUCACCUAUGACAUCCCUCCUCCCAGGUUUGCUGGAAAGAUUGAACCAGCCGGACACAACCAGUGCCUGGAGUCGGCCUGGCAUAGUACUGAAUUGUUCACAGCUGGCAGCGUGGCCGAAUGACUCACCCCUCCCGGAAGGAUGCCCAUGUCAACCCAGCAGCUUCAUGCAGGUCAACGCUUGUUCCCUCAGCACCCAGAAGGUUUAG